AGAAACACCGGUUCCAGUACGAUCAGCGAAGUUAAGCAACGUCGGACCUCGUCAGUACCUAGAUGGGUGAUCGUUUCGGAAUACCAGGUGCUGUAAG
RNAcentral lists this ribosomal RNA (97 nucleotides) under Acanthosepion pharaonis. Lineage: Eukaryota; Metazoa; Mollusca; Cephalopoda; Sepiida; Sepiidae. The record is from RNAcentral.